GGAUUAGAUACCCUGGUAGUCCACGCCGUAAACGAUGAGUACUCGAUGUUGGCGAUACACAGCCAGCGUCUUAGCGAAAGCGUUAAGUACUCCACCUGGGGAGUACGCCCGCAAGGGUGAAACUCAAAGGAAUUGACGGGGGCCCGCACAAGCGGUGGAGCAUGUGGUUUAAUUCGAUGAUACGCGAGGAACCUUACCUAGGCUAGAAUGCGCGUGACAGCUCCAGAGAUGGAGCCUUCCUUCGGGACACAAAGCAAGGUGCUGCAUGGCUGUCGUCAGCUCGUGUCG
This 288-nucleotide ribosomal RNA is filed under the name uncultured bacterium. RNAcentral describes it as "partial 16S ribosomal RNA". It matches the Rfam family "Bacterial small subunit ribosomal RNA", at positions 775 to 1067 of the family's 1533-position model. The record is from RNAcentral.